This 347-nucleotide unclassified non-coding RNA is filed under the name soil metagenome. RNAcentral describes it as "partial contains 5.8S ribosomal RNA, internal transcribed spacer 2, and large subunit ribosomal RNA". The stretch from base 4 to 119 matches the Rfam family "5.8S ribosomal RNA", at positions 39 to 154 of the family's 154-position model. The record is from RNAcentral.
GAUAAGAACGUAGCGAAAUGCGAUAAGUAAUGUGAAUUGCAGAAUUCAGUGAAUCAUCGAAUCUUUGAACGCACAUUGCGCCCGCCAGUAUUCUGGCGGGCAUGCCUGUCUGAGCGUCAUUUCAACCCUCAUGCCCCUAGGGCGUGGUGUUGGGGAUCGGCCAAAGCCCGCGAGGGACGGCCGGCCCCUAAAUCUAGUGGCGGACCCGUCGUGGCCUCCUCUGCGAAGUAGUGAUAUUCCGCAUCGGAGAGCGAUGAGCCCCUGCCGUUAAACCCCCAACUUUCCAAGGUUGACCUCAGAUCAGGUAGGAAUACCCGCUGAACUUAAGCAUAUCAAUAAGCGGAGGA